AUGCCUUACAGGGCUUUCAUUGUCCUCAUCCCAAAAGGAGUGGCUCCCCCAUCUCCCGACGCCUUCCGCCCAAUCUCACUUCAAAACUGCCCUCCCAAAGCGCUGGCUAAAUUACUUGUAAAUCGCCUCAAACCCGUUAUACCUGCUCUUGUCCACCCUGACCAGACAGGUUUCCUCUCAGGUAGAACUAUUUCUGAGAAUUUUCUCUAUGCUGCAGACGUUCUCCAUGUCUGUGCUAGGACCAAAGCCCCAAUGUUGGUUUUUAAACUGGACUUCUCCAAAGCUUUCGACUCAGUCUCUGGGCCUACUCUUCUAUCUAUUCUUCGUGUCCGGGGCUUUUCAGAAAAAUGGCUCGGAUGGAUAAGCUCGUUGCUUACCUCUAGCAAAAGCGCGGUGCUCUUGAAUGGAUCACCUGGCCCGUGGAUCCAGUGUAAGAACGGCCUCCGGCAGGGCGACCCACUCUCCCCUUUCCUCUUCAUCAUCAUCGCAGAUGUCCUUCAAAGAAUGAUUAUAAAUGCUUGUGCACAAAAUCUCCUAGCACACCCAGUCUCCACUACCCUCCCCUGCCUGGUUCUACAGUAUGCUGACGACACACUUAUCAUUAUCAAAGCCGACCCCCUAGCUGCAACCAACCUCAAAAAAAAUCCUUGA
Molecule: ribosomal RNA, 651 nt
Filed under: Triticum aestivum (bread wheat)
Lineage: Eukaryota; Viridiplantae; Streptophyta; Magnoliopsida; Poales; Poaceae
Description: partial small subunit ribosomal RNA
Source: RNAcentral